RNAcentral lists this ribosomal RNA (254 nucleotides) under uncultured bacterium. RNAcentral describes it as "partial 16S ribosomal RNA". It matches the Rfam family "Bacterial small subunit ribosomal RNA", at positions 524 to 776 of the family's 1533-position model. The record is from RNAcentral.
UACGUAGGUGGCAAGCGUUGUCCGGAUUUACUGGGCGUAAAGGGAGCGUAGGUGGAUUAUUUAAGUGGGAUGUGAAAAUCCCCGGGCUAACCUGGGGGCUGCAUUCCAAACUGGAUGUCUAGAGUGCAGGAGAGGAGAGUGGAAUUCCUAGUGUAGCGGUGAAAUGCGUAGAGAUUAGGAAGAACACCAGUGGCGAAGGCGACUCUCUGGACUGUAACUGACACUGAGGCUCGAAAGCGUGGGGAGCAAACAGG